GUUGACCUCGGAUCAGGUAGGGAUACCCGCUGAACUUAAGCAUAUCAAUAAGCGGAGGAAAAGAAACCAACAGGGAUUGCUCUAGUAACGGCGAGUGAAGCAGCAAUAGCUCAAAUUUGAAAUCUGGCGUCUUCGACGUCCGAGUUGUAAUUUGUAGAGGAUGCUUCUGAGUGGCCACCGACCUAAGUUCCUUGGAACAGGACGUCAUAGAGGGUGAGAAUCCCGUAUGCGGUCGGA
This 237-nucleotide ribosomal RNA is filed under the name Cladosporium ramotenellum. RNAcentral's name for it is "partial 28S ribosomal RNA". It matches the Rfam family "Eukaryotic large subunit ribosomal RNA", at positions 1 to 233 of the family's 3401-position model. The record is from RNAcentral. Lineage: Eukaryota; Fungi; Ascomycota; Dothideomycetes; Cladosporiales; Cladosporiaceae.